RNAcentral lists this unclassified non-coding RNA (236 nucleotides) under Hevea brasiliensis (rubber tree). Lineage: Eukaryota; Viridiplantae; Streptophyta; Magnoliopsida; Malpighiales; Euphorbiaceae. The record is from RNAcentral.
GGAUGUCCCAAGUAUGAUCCAACACAUUCCCGUUCUGAUAUAACAAUUAAGUAUGACCCUGCUACAAGCUUAAGCAUUCCAACUACACCAAAAAUAGUCCUAAUUUUAGGAACACGAAGAGAGCUGCAUUCUGGAACUCCAUCAAUGAGUUUCAUGGAACCAUCAGCACGACUAACAGCCAAAGGAGAACUAGAAGAUCCAUCGGUUGGUUCAAUCACAUACUCAUCUGGAAAUUC